CGUCUAAAGCGUCAAUCUCAGUCAGCUAUAGGUCAUAGGAGGCUGGCUCGAUGACCUAGAGAUACUCACCAUCGCCAUCACAGAUGCAAGGAGCCCUCCAUGGAAACAGUGGCUACCACUCUUUGACGAUGGCUCGACUCCAGCAUAAAACCAAAACAAAGCCACAAUAUGGAUAUUCAAUGCUGCCGUCUCUAUUUCCUUUAGACUUGCAAAAGAUAAACACAAUCCAAAACCUAUUUACACCCAUUCUAGUUGGGGGAGGGCUGACCCGCAAGCCAUGCCCAAAACUAAUGUGUUUCCCUACCCAGAAGGGCCGGAAAAGACUGCAGGAGGUGGAAAGCCAUGAACCCGAGACAGGAAACAACAAAGGAAGAAAGAUUUGAGAGAAAAUUCUCUCUAGAACUAAAAAGAAAGAACCAUAUUAAUUUUUCCCUCAUUUAUGUUGGACUGUUGUCUUGCUCGCCCGUAUUCAUUGUUAAUGCAAGUGUAUUGCAGUUGUGUACCGCUAGCCCCCUUUUCAUAAACAAGUUGUUAUUAAGAGAAAAUCCCAAAUGUGGAAAAUAGCGGUAACCUUUUUAGUCAGAUUAAACCAAAUUAUCCAUAUAAGAAAAUAAAAUCAUUUACAAGGGAUUUGUUUUUAAUUUCUUUGUAUUUCUCAUAGAAUUAAGUGUUUUGCUUGGAAAUCAAUGGAAAAACAAUUGGUCUAAUCUCUUGGUGAGGACAAGGUUAUGAAUUAGCACUAACACCCAAGUGGACAAUUAGUCGACUCUUGGCACCAUGGCAGACGGUGGCAAAUUCCAGUGAUUACAGUGUGCGCUAAAGCUUCAAAAAAUUACCUGGAAUACUCUUUCCCUCCAUGUCUGCCAGUUUAUUUUCAUCGUACAUUUCACUUUUUUUUCUUCAAAUGCAAAAGAAGUAUUUCUCUUCUUUGAUGCUCUCAGUCUUGACCGUUCAAUCCAACAACCAGCAAACAAACAAUCCUUCAUCAUGCGAAUGGAUUUGUCGGAAAUUGCAAAGAAGCUUGGCCUAUCGGAAUUCAAGAACCUGAUCCGAAAAGCGGCGGAGCUCCUCCGCCUCUGUGACGUCCAGUUUGAUUCCUCCAUUAUCGGAGUUGUAAGUGCUACUUUGGAAUUUCAAAUUCAUUUGAUCAAAUAUGUAACAUUGCGAGUGUUUUCUAAAAUCGUCAAAAUUAUUUAAUUACUUGCAGGGAGAGGUUUGUAAGGCUAUAAUCCGCUUGGAAAUCGCUGCAACACGGUGCCCAUUUUGUUUAUAAUCUUUUUUAUCUUUAUUUUUUUUAUGGAUAGAUCAUUUGUAUGUUAAUGUAUCGGUAUAAAUGAGUGCAGGUUUCAAGUUUUUUUUAUAGGCAGGCAGCAUAAGGUUGAGUGGAAUGUUAGAGAAGGCUUACAAUAGGUCCUUCAAUUCUCUGCCAAACAGUCUUGGUGUUAAGCAAGUUCUUAUUCUCUUCUUUCUGGGUUAUAUUUCUUGAUUUGAAUUUAAUAGAUAAUGUACUAAGAUGUUGGAUCUUAACCUGGAUUGAUUUUUGGUUGUGUGCUGUAGGACAAAGCUGAAUAUUAGAGAAUUGGGGAUUCAGUUUGGGUGCAUUAGGCUCAUUCCUUUUGUGAAAAAUGGCCUAUCAUUUCUAUUUCUUUGGUUUACCCACUAACUGAAUUCCAUUUUAUGUUGCCACGCAUAAAGUGACAUUUGCAUUGUGUUCUUAAAAAUGCCUAUGAGUAACAGAUCCCAAAAUCAGUUUAUAAUGAGUGAUUUUUCUGCAUGUAAUCACUAGAUGUGUGCUUUUAAUAUUCAACCUUUUAGAUAUGUUGUAGCUCAGAAGAUUAGUAGACCUUUAGUAGACCUUCUAGGUGGUGUCCUGCAAUGAUCUCUUGAGGUCUAGAUUUCUUUAAUCAACUUAAAAAUAUUUUGUUUGUGUCAAUUGUACACCUGUAGGCCCCGGUAAUUACUAUAUUUGUAUUACGUGUUUUCCGACUGAGAGGUGUCGAUUGUCAGGUACGAGGAAUAUUUUCUUGCAUCAUUGCCAGCUUCAAGACGAGCAACUGCUGGCUUCAACCGGCCUGUGUUACUGCAGUUGCAUUCUACUUGUAUGCAAAGAAACGCAAGGACAGUGAACAAAUUUUUUCACCAGUUGUUGAUUAAAGAACUAUAUUACCUUUGUGUUUUAGCUUAUGUGGUUUAUGUUUCUCUCUCCGCAGCUCAAGAUAGACAGUUUGUGGCAUAUGUGAAUCUGAAUUCAAAUUUGUGUCCACCUCCAUGAAGGACCUUUGUCAUGAUGUCUUUGGGAUCUCAGAGAAAAAGAAGGAUCCCAGAGAGGUGAAGGGCAACCGAGGUAAAUUUUAUUUGGUGACUAUGGGCUUUAUUCGUUCUGUUACGUAAUGGAUUGGAUGGGGUCAAAAUAUCUACCCGGAUUUGGCUGGCUGGAAGAAUAGUCGGGUAGUUGGAAUUAGAUAUUGUAAUUAUUCGUCAGAAUUUAAAUUACAAGAUCAGAUUCCUUACGCUUUGCCAGAUAGGCUAAUGAAAACUAAUUUGAUGCAGCGCAGAAUCGUGCUUCUCAAGUCACAACCCCAUCUCCCACCCAGAAGACAAUAAGAAUGCAACACCUCAUUUUUAUUCUUUAAUU
Hevea brasiliensis (rubber tree) is the source of this 2635-nucleotide long non-coding RNA. RefSeq lists it as uncharacterized. NCBI's taxonomy places the organism in Eukaryota, Viridiplantae, Streptophyta, Magnoliopsida, Malpighiales, Euphorbiaceae. The transcript has 3 exons. The record is from RefSeq and is a predicted model, not a curated record.